This 1795-nucleotide ribosomal RNA is filed under the name Psilobotrys minutus. Its description in RNAcentral is "partial large subunit ribosomal RNA". It matches the Rfam family "Eukaryotic large subunit ribosomal RNA", at positions 1 to 1827 of the family's 3401-position model. The record is from RNAcentral. Lineage: Eukaryota; Fungi; Ascomycota; Sordariomycetes; Chaetosphaeriales; Chaetosphaeriaceae.
UUGACCUCGGAUCAGGUAGGAAUACCCGCUGAACUUAAGCAUAUCAAUAAGCGGAGGAAAAGAAACCAACAGGGAUUGCCCUAGUAACGGCGAGUGAAGCGGCAACAGCUCAAAUUUGAAAUCUGGCCCUAGGCCCGAGUUGUAAUUUGCAGAGGAUGCUUCGGGCGCGGUGCCUUCCCAAGUCCCCUGGAACGGGGCGCCAGAGAGGGUGAGAGCCCCGUACGGUCGGCCGCUAAGCCUGUGUGAAGCUCCUUCGACGAGUCGAGUAGUUUGGGAAUGCUGCUCAAAAUGGGAGGUAGACCCCUUCUAAAGCUAAAUACCGGCUAGAGACCGAUAGCGCACAAGUAGAGUGAUCGAAAGAUGAAAAGAACUUUGAAAAGAGGGUUAAACAGCACGUGAAAUUGUUGAAGGGGAAGCGCUUGUGACCAGACUUGCGCCGGGGCGAUCAUCCAGCGUUCUCGCUGGUGCACUCGCCCCGGCGCAGGCCAGCGUCGGUUCGGGAGGGGGGACAAAGGUGUCUGGAACGUGGCUCCCCCGGGAGUGUUAUAGCCAGGCUCGCCAUGCCCCCGCCCGGACCGAGGUUCGCGCUCUGCAAGGACGCUGGCGUAAUGGUCACCAGCGGCCCGUCUUGAAACACGGACCAAGGAGUCGAGGUUCUGCGCGAGUGUUUGGGUGACAAACCCGCACGCGCAAUGAAAGUGAACGCAGGUGGGAGCUUCGGCGCACCACCGACCGAUCCUGAUGUUCUCGGAUGGAUUUGAGUACGAGCGUAGGGCCUCGGACCCGAAAGAUGGUGAACUAUGCUUGGAUAGGGUGAAGCCAGAGGAAACUCUGGUGGAGGCUCGCAGCGGUUCUGACGUGCAAAUCGAUCGUCAAAUCUGAGCAUGGGGGCGAAAGACUAAUCGAACCAUCUAGUAGCUGGUUACCGCCGAAGUUUCCCUCAGGAUAGCAGUGUUGUUCUUCAGUUUUAUGAGGUAAAGCGAAUGAUUAGGGACUCGGGGGCGCUAUUUAGCCUUCAUCCAUUCUCAAACUUUAAAUAUGUAAGAAGCCCUUGUUGCUUAGUUGAACGUGGGCAUUCGAAUGUACCAACACUAGUGGGCCAUUUUUGGUAAGCAGAACUGGCGAUGUGGGAUGAACCAUACGCGGGGUUAAGGUGCCGGAGUGGACGCUCAUCAGACACCACAAAAGGCGUUAGCACAUCUUGACAGCAGGACGGUGGCCAUGGAAGUCGGAAUCCGCUAAGGACUGUGUAACAACUCACCUGCCGAAUGUGCUAGCCCUGAAAAUGGAUGGCGCUCAAGCGUCCCACCCAUACCUCGCCCUCAGGGUAGGAACGAUGCCCUGAGGAGUAGGCGGCCGUGGAGGUCCGUGACGAAGCCUAGGGCGUGAGCCCGGGUCGAACGGCCUCUAGUGCAGAUCUUGGUGGUAGUAGCAAAUACUUCAAUGAGAACUUGAAGGACCGAAGUGGGGAAAGGUUCCAUGUGAACAGCGGUUGGACGUGGGUUAGUCGAUCCUAAGCCAUAGGGAAGUUCCGUUUCAAAGGGGCACUCGUGCCCCGUGUGGCGAAAGGGAAGCCGGUCAAUAUUCCGGCACCUGGAUGUGGGUUUUUCGCGGCAACGCAACCGAACGCGGAGACGGCGGCGGGGGCCCCGGGCAGAGUUCUCUUUUCUUCUUAACGGCCUGUCACCCUGGAAACAGUUUGUCUGGAGAUAGGGUUUAAUGACCGGAAGAGCCCGGCACUUCUGCUGGGUCCGGCGCGCCCCCGACGUCCCUUGAAAAUCCGCGGGAGGGAAUA